GGGAGUAUCAGUAGAUUACUGACUCUUAAUCAGUAGGUCCUCGGUUCGAUCCCGAGACGGCCCACCA
RNAcentral lists this transfer RNA (67 nucleotides) under Nitrospinaceae bacterium. RNAcentral describes it as "tRNA-Lys". Lineage: Bacteria; Pseudomonadati; Nitrospinota; Nitrospinia; Nitrospinales; Nitrospinaceae. The record is from RNAcentral.